AUUGAACGCUGGCGGCAGGCUUAACACAUGCAAGUCGAGCGAGCGGCGGACGGGUGAGCAAUGUCUGGGAAACUGCCUGAUGGAGGGGGAUAACUACCGGACACGGUAGCUAAUACCGCAUACCAUCAGAUGUGCCCAGAUGGGAUUAGCUAGUAGGUGGGGUAAUGGAUCACCAAGGCGACGAUCCCUAGCUGGUCUGAGAGGAUGACCAGCAAAACUGGAACUGAGACACGGUCAAGACUCCGACGGGAGGCAGCAGUGGGGAAUAUUGCACAAUGGGCGCAAGCCUGAUGCAGCCAUGCCGCGUGUGUGAAGAAGGCCUUCGGGUUGUAAAGCACUUUCAGCGGGGAGGCGUUACUCGCAGAAUAAGCACCGGCUAACUCCGUGCCAGCCGCCGCGGUAAUAC
RNAcentral lists this ribosomal RNA (406 nucleotides) under uncultured bacterium. RNAcentral's name for it is "partial 16S ribosomal RNA". It matches the Rfam family "Bacterial small subunit ribosomal RNA", at positions 30 to 526 of the family's 1533-position model. The record is from RNAcentral.